This is a long non-coding RNA of Drosophila sulfurigaster albostrigata, 616 nucleotides long. RefSeq lists it as uncharacterized. The transcript has 3 exons. Lineage: Eukaryota; Metazoa; Arthropoda; Insecta; Diptera; Drosophilidae. The record is from RefSeq and is a predicted model, not a curated record.
UAAAGUAACAAUUUCAUAAAAAGAUUGAACAACUUAAAUUGUUGAACUUGGUGUAUCAGUAAAGUAACUCUCCCCUUUUAACAACUGACUGUGAAAAACUUGGUAAAAGGAGCAAUGAAAACUACUGGCAGGAAAAAUAACACGUUGCUUUUGCAACAUCAGCCUCAGGACUACGCGCAGCAUGGUUCUCACUCAGUCCAGUCUAGUCUAUGGCAAGUGACCGACCGAAACUGUGGCCAUGAACAGGAUACAUCAGAGUGCUGUAACUUUGUCCUGGGGCUUGGGUUCGGAAGGCAUAGUAAAUAGUUUGGCCAAGAUUUCAAAAACAGUUAACUAUUAUACGAGCUGAGUGAGAUGUCUGACAGCGAACAAUGCUUGCCUUGCCUUUCCUUGCCGGUGAACAAGUUUGCCGUGCCAGCUUUCGAGGCAAGCAAUCGAAUUAAAAUCCAUAAAAAGUGAACACGAUAAAGUUUGACUGAAUGACGUCGCUUUGUCAUCGCUCCCGUCGCUGACGUCUUCUUCUCACUCCCGCUGUCGCCUGACGUUCGCUGCAACUGACAGCAAAGCCGAAUGUACGUGCAUUGCAAUGCCUCGGCAAGCAGCGCACCAAGGCUAG